ACAAAUUCGUUGAUGAGAAAAAGUAGCGUUUCGUUUUGAUCCCCAGAGAGCUGACAAUCGGUGCAAGUCAGUGUUCAAAAGUUACGUGAAAAAUCCUCUCUGAGAAGUUAGGCUGAAAUUAAGUAAGUCUGACCGGGAGUCUACCGUUAAAAGGACCGCGUAUGAUUGUACGUUGCUAAGUGCUAUUGAGCGGAUCAAUAGAAUUAGGGUGGUAUCGCGGGUUAACCCCGUCCCUUCU
RNAcentral lists this non-coding RNA (238 nucleotides) under Ureibacillus manganicus. RNAcentral describes it as "Lysinibacillus manganicus T-box sequence". It matches the Rfam family "T-box leader". Rfam says of the family: Uncharged tRNA acts as the effector for transcription antitermination of genes in the T-box leader family. Lineage: Bacteria; Bacillati; Bacillota; Bacilli; Caryophanales; Caryophanaceae. The record is from RNAcentral.